This is a long non-coding RNA of Patiria miniata (bat star), 311 nucleotides long. RefSeq lists it as uncharacterized. The transcript is spliced from 2 exons. NCBI's taxonomy places the organism in Eukaryota, Metazoa, Echinodermata, Asteroidea, Valvatida, Asterinidae. The record is from RefSeq and is a predicted model, not a curated record.
GUGCCCGCAAAAGAUGACCAAGGUUAAGGUCCAACUGGUUUGGGUCAGGUGUGCCCACUAAAAGAUGACCAAGGUAAAGGUCCAACUGGUUCGGGUCAGGUGUGCCCACAAAAAGAUGACCAAGGUAAAGGUCCAACUGGUUCGGGUCAGGUGUGCCCACAAAAAGAUGACCAAGGUAAAGGUCCAAUUGGUUUGGGUCAGGUGUGCCCACUAACAAGUUUAAGGGACCAUAGUGAUGGUCCAUCGUUGGUUAUCUCAAGAAGUUUUGGUCUAAUAAAUAGCUGCUUUUGGCUGCAGCAAAGAACCAAGAA